Molecule: long non-coding RNA, 421 nt
Filed under: Setaria viridis
Lineage: Eukaryota; Viridiplantae; Streptophyta; Magnoliopsida; Poales; Poaceae
Description: long non-coding RNA (SVIR_LNC000867)
Source: RNAcentral
UCGAUGUGUGAGGAGAUAUAGGAACUCACCUUACUGGACCUUCCCAAGGAAGAAGGUGAUGCCUUUGUUUCUGAUUCAAUUUUCUGAUGCUUUCUCCCGGAGAGCCGUUGAUGUUGUUGUAUAGAGCUAACUCCCCUCCUGGGUUUGAUCUGGGGCUCUAACUUGGGCCGAUGAACUUUACAUGUGAUGGGUCAAUAUAUGGUCCAUGGCACUACUCGACGUGACAUUACUACCCCUGAAAACUUUGCUUGUCCCUAAGAAAAGGUAUGUCCCCGCUUCUUAAAUUCAAGAUAUCUAAAUGCACAAUCCCUUGUUAAAAGUAUAGCAGUGAUGAUGACAACAUCUUGAGUAAUGGACUGAGUGUCCCUUGACCUGUGCAGAACCAUCCAUUCCCCUUCCAUCAAAUGAGAUAAAUGAUUUG